This 557-nucleotide long non-coding RNA is filed under the name Felis catus (domestic cat). RNAcentral's name for it is "lncRNA (ENSFCAG00000046054.2)". Lineage: Eukaryota; Metazoa; Chordata; Mammalia; Carnivora; Felidae. The record is from RNAcentral.
GGUAGACGUCAUGUUUCAGACCUCCAACCAUCUAUGCUGUCACAGUCAUGACGAACAGAAGGCACUGAGACUCCCAGGACCAACUAUCAACCAUCAUCUUCGUUGCCUUUGUGACAGCUGCUCUGAGGGGGAAGAAAGUGCACUUCCUAGAGAGAGAUGACCUUUGCAAAGUGGAGCUAUUUGUAAAGACUUCUGUUUCUCCGGGGGAUUUUUUUUCUCACUCAGAAGGAUCAACCACAAAGUAGGUGGUCCAUGCUCUACUGAGCCCUGGGGCUGGCCUUUGCCAAAACUGAAUAACUGGCAAAAUCAGACUUUGCUGCAACCUCCCACACACCCACACUUGGCCCAGGCAGAUACUAAACACCUUGAACCCUAGUCUGACCAAUGUCUAGAAACCCUCCUGGUGAGUGUCCUGUGCCCUAGACUUUGCUUCCUUCUCCCUCCUGUGUGCAUAUGUCCUCUCAGGAGGCUAUCCCAUUCUAAACAGAAAAAAUAGGGUCAAAUUACAGAAUAUUGAAAGUCUUGGAAGUUCCAGUUUUAAAAAUCCUAAAAGUCAU